GUACUUGCUUUGGCAGCACAUAUACUCAAAUUGGAAUGAUAUGGAGAUUAGCAUGGCCCCUGAGCAAGGAUGACAUGCAAAUUUAUGAAGCAUUUCACAUUUCU
This is a small nuclear RNA of Lagenorhynchus albirostris (white-beaked dolphin), 104 nucleotides long. The record is from RefSeq and is a predicted model, not a curated record. Lineage: Eukaryota; Metazoa; Chordata; Mammalia; Artiodactyla; Delphinidae.